GAGAAUGGAAAUGGGGAAUAUGUCAAAGAGACAACAACCCGACCAAAUAAAAAACAACAGCAGAGGGUCACCAACAGGUCUUCAAUGUAGCGAGAAAUUCAAUUCCCGCACCCGGAGGCGUCCUUCAGCUGGCCCCUAAACAAAUAUAUACUAGUCCAGUGAUAAUGAACGCCAUACUAAUUUCCAAAUUGUACACAAGAAACUAAAAUUAAAAUAAUACAAGACUAACAAAGGCCAGAGGCUCCUGACUUGGGACAGGCGCAAAAAUGCGGCGGGGUUAAACAUGUUUGUGAGAUCUCAACCCCCCCCCUAUACCUCUAACCAAUGUAGUAAAGUAAAUGCA
This 343-nucleotide long non-coding RNA is filed under the name Mytilus galloprovincialis (Mediterranean mussel). The record is from RNAcentral. Lineage: Eukaryota; Metazoa; Mollusca; Bivalvia; Mytilida; Mytilidae.